UACAGAGGUCUCAAGCGUUGUUCGGAUUCAUUGGGCGUAAAGGGUGCGUAGGCGGUAAAGUAAGUUGGAUGUGAAAUCCCGGGGCUUAACCCCGGAACUGCAUUCAAUACUGCUAUACUAGAGUACUGGAGAGGAGAUUGGAAUUCACGGUGUAGCAGUGAAAUGCGUAGAUAUCGUGAGGAAGACCAGUGGCGAAGGCGAAUCUCUGGACAGUUACUGACGCUGAGGCACGAAGGCUAGGGGAGCAAACGGG
Molecule: ribosomal RNA, 253 nt
Filed under: uncultured bacterium
Lineage: Bacteria
Description: partial 16S ribosomal RNA
Rfam family: Bacterial small subunit ribosomal RNA
Source: RNAcentral